This is a long non-coding RNA of Leopardus geoffroyi (Geoffroy's cat), 278 nucleotides long. RefSeq lists it as uncharacterized. The record is from RefSeq and is a predicted model, not a curated record. Lineage: Eukaryota; Metazoa; Chordata; Mammalia; Carnivora; Felidae. The transcript is spliced from 2 exons.
GUCACAUGUCCACAACGAACUAACCAACCCUGGGAGGUAUCAGAGAGCAAAUGCUAUGUUUACUGAGCACUCGUAUCUCUGCCACAGGUGGCCUUACCGGAAAGGAUCUGUUGAAUACCAGGAUUGCUGGACUGGGUCUUGAAAGACGAUUCACCAUCCAGUAAAGAGAAAUUGGAAGCUGGGGUAGAAGGUAAUCGCAUGCGGCUCUGCUUAAGCAAAGACUGGGGCAAGAAACAGAUAUGAGCAUUAAAUGUGCUAAUAUAAUAGUGCCUGGCAUA